Molecule: ribosomal RNA, 484 nt
Filed under: uncultured bacterium
Lineage: Bacteria
Description: partial 16S ribosomal RNA
Rfam family: Bacterial small subunit ribosomal RNA
Source: RNAcentral
AUUGAACGCUGGCGGCAGGCCUAACACAUGCAAGUCGAGCGGCAGAAGGGUGCUUGCUCGUGGAUUCAGCGGCGGACGGGCGGGUGAGGCCUAGAAACAUGCGUGGCAGCGGGUGAGAGGGUCCGGAAGUGGGCGCUAAUACGGCAUAACUGCAGAGGGCCAACGGGGGGGAGCAUGGGACCUUACGAUCUUAGGUGAGUCGAUGUCGGAUUAGCUAGUUGGUGGGGUAAAGGCCUACCAAGGCGACGAUCCGUAGCUGGUCUGAGAGGAUGAUCAGCCACACUGGAACUGAGACACGGUCCAGACUCCUACGGGAGGCAGCAGUGGGGAAUAUUGGACAAUGGGCGAAAGCCUGAUCCAGCCAUGCCGCGUGUGUGAAGAAGGUCUUCGGAUUGUAAAGCACUUUUAGUUGGGAAGAAGAGCAGUAAGUUAAUACCUUGCUGUUUUGACGUUACCAAAAGAAUAAGCACCGGCUAACUUCGUG